GCUUAGAUGUAAACCACGGCACCCAACCCUACUCACGUGCCCGCCAGAGUACUACAAGCGAAAAGCUUAAAACUCAAAGGACUUGACGGCAUUCCAACCACACUAGAGGAGCCUGUCCUAUAAUCGAUAACCCACGCUAUACCUCACCUAUGCUUGCACAAACCAGCCUAUAUACCGCCGUCUGCAGCCCGCCUUACAAAAGUACACACAGCGCGCAAACCAGUCUAACACUAGAACGUCAGGUCAAGGUGUAGCUUACGCAUAGGAAGAGAUGGGCUACAUUUUCUAACAAUAGAAAACUACUACCACCACCAUGAAACACGUGCACAAAGGAGGAUUUAGCAGUAAGCCACGCAAGACUUAAGCCUGGCUGAACAACGCUCUGGAAUGCGU
RNAcentral lists this ribosomal RNA (393 nucleotides) under Hemidactylus persicus. Its description in RNAcentral is "partial 12S ribosomal RNA". It matches the Rfam family "Bacterial small subunit ribosomal RNA", at positions 794 to 1384 of the family's 1533-position model. The record is from RNAcentral. Lineage: Eukaryota; Metazoa; Chordata; Lepidosauria; Squamata; Gekkonidae.